This 362-nucleotide unclassified non-coding RNA is filed under the name Hevea brasiliensis (rubber tree). Lineage: Eukaryota; Viridiplantae; Streptophyta; Magnoliopsida; Malpighiales; Euphorbiaceae. The record is from RNAcentral.
ACUACAAAGAUAACCUGAAAAGAUGCCCCAAGUCUUCAGCUUUUUGGUUCUGCCGGUUCCUUUCUUCGAAGCCAUUACACUUAUGUGGUCUUCUACUACAUUCAUGCAAGAUCCCCAAGAUUUCUCCAGAGGCUAGCGAGUUCAAAUAGCAUGUGCUUUCUAGAGGUUCCACAUCUGUGUGACUUGCGUGUUUUUUAGUUGAAUAAUAUCACUAGGCUGCUGCUCAGAUCCGGCCGGUGACUUUGUGUUUGCGAUAAAAAUUGUGGUGAUCCGUGCCCUGGUUGUUUUCAUUGUUCUAAAAUAUGUAAUGCAUUAUGUACUGGUAUUGUGUCUUUGAAAUCAAUUUUAUUAUCCUUUAAAAA